UACGGGAGGCAGCAGUGGGGAAUAUUGCACAAUGGGCGCAAGCCUGAUGCAGCCAUGCCGCGUGUAUGAAGAAGGCCUUCGGGUUGUAAAGUACUUUCAGCGGGGAGGAAGGCGAUGCGGUUAAUAACCGCGUCGAUUGACGUUACCCGCAGAAGAAGCACCGGCUAACUCCGUGCCAGCAGCCGCGGUAAUACGGAGGGUGCAAGCGUUAAUCGGAAUUACUGGGCGUAAAAGCGCACGCAGGCGGUCUGUUAAGUCAGAUGUGAAAUCCCCCGGGGCUUAAACCUGGGAACUGCAUUUGUAAACUGGCAGGCUUGAGUCUUGUAGAGGGGGUAGGAAUUCCAGGUGUAGCGGUGAAAUGCGUAGAGAUCUGGAGGAAUACCGGUGGCGAAGGCGGGCCCCUCGGACAAAGACUGACGCUCAGGUGCGAAAGCGUGGGGAGCAAACAGGAUUAGAUAC
This 459-nucleotide ribosomal RNA is filed under the name uncultured bacterium. Its description in RNAcentral is "bacterial SSU rRNA". It matches the Rfam family "Bacterial small subunit ribosomal RNA", at positions 340 to 785 of the family's 1533-position model. The record is from RNAcentral.